This 283-nucleotide ribosomal RNA is filed under the name uncultured bacterium. Its description in RNAcentral is "partial 16S ribosomal RNA". It matches the Rfam family "Bacterial small subunit ribosomal RNA", at positions 28 to 313 of the family's 1533-position model. The record is from RNAcentral.
GAUGAACGCUGGCGGCGUGCCUAACACAUGCAAGUCGAACGUGAACUCUAUACUUGUAUAGGGUGAAAGUGGCGAACGGGUGAGUAACACGUUGGUGACCUGCCCCGAGGAGAGGGAUAACUCCUUGAAAGAGGAGCUAAUACCUCAGAUGACUGGACUGUUAGAGGGUCCAGCCUAAAGCUCCGGUGUCUCGGGAGGGGCCUGCGGGCUAUCAGCUAGUUGGUGGGGUAAGAGCCUACCAAGGCGAAGACGGCUAGGGGGCGUGAGAGCGUGACCCCCACAA